CAUUACGGCAUUAUUUAUUUUUUUUUUUAGUCUCUGUGCCAAAUAUUGGAUAAUUGUGGAAAUAUGUGGUCCAGGUGGUGUGCCAUCUGGCAGCUGGGUGCAGCUGCCCCACCUGUGCAGGUGGUCAGUCCUCCAGGCUGAGGGACUGACCCCCUCAGAGCUGAGGGACUGAUGACGGCGUCUUCACAUCUGUGAAGAUGAUCUGCAGUGGUUCCUGGAUGAAAGUCAGGAGUCAAAACAAAAUGAGGCUUAGAAUGUGAACCAUCAGUCAGACACAACAGAAGGUGAGUCAUCCACACAGAACCAACAGGUAGCUGACAAAUUUGCAUCCAAACAGCAGAAGCAACUACCCCAGAGACCCUGCUUUCAGAAUCAUUGGUGAACGAGGUUAAGGAUGACGACAACGGGCACUGAAGAUGAGGCAGAGGAAGAUCUGAUGAAGACAGAGAAAAAAACUCAUCACAUUCACGAACAAAGGUAGCAGAGGGGCAGCUGUACUCAAGCAGGUCACGACCCAGCACAUCAGGGGUGACUCAGCGCCAGGACAAAGAGUACUUAACUGGUCUCAGCGAUCACCUCGACCACCUCGACCAGCAGCUCCACCAAACAUAAGAAACUCUCAGUAUUGUGGUGAACACUAUCAAGACCAGAUUGGAUGAGACAGAGAAAAAUACAGUAUUCGUCUAUGCAGAAUCAAACACCAGUGAAAUACGAAGAAGAGAAAAUGAGCUAGGAUAUUUCAUUUAUAGCUAAACCUGUGUGAAUCAUUCAACUCAAGGAGCACUGGAGGCUUCAUCCUCUGUCCACUAAUGAAGAUCUGGACUCUGUCCUGUCAGGUUGUUGACGAUUGUGCAAGUUUAAGGUAAAUAAAUGUUGUGUCUCAAGGAGUGUCACUGAGCUUAUAUUUAUCUCAGGUUAGCUAUUACUUUCAUGCUAGAAAUAAGAAAACAAUCCGUAUGCAGUGGACCCCCGCCUUACGAUAUUAAUCCGUUCCCGAGAGCUCAUCGUAUGCCGAAAUUAUUGUAAGGCGAAUUAAUUUUCCACAUAAGAAAUAAUGGAAAUCAAAUUAAUCCGUUCCUGACACCCCAAAGUAUGAAAAAAAAAAUUUUACCACAUGAAAUAUUAAUUUUAACCCUUUCAGGGUUUCGGCCGUACUAGUACGGUUUAUGCGCCAGGGUCCUUGACGUACUAGUACUCAUAAAUUCUAGCACCUUCAAAUCUAGUGAGAGAAAGCUGGUAGGCCUACAUAUGAAAGAAUGGGUCUAUGUGGUCAGUGUGCGCAGUAUAAAAAAAAUCCUGUAGCACACAGUGCGUAAUGAGAAAAAAAAACUUUGACCGUGUUUUUGGAUUAAAACAGCGACUUUGCACUGUAUUUUCAUAUGGUAUUUAUUGUUGUAUUCUAGUUUUCCUGGUCUCAUUUUAUAGAAUGGAAGACAUAUUACAGAAAUUGAGAUGAUUUUGACUGGUUUUACAAUGAAAAGUACCUUGAAAUUGAGCUGAAAGUAGCAGAAAUGUUCAAUUUUUACCAAAGUUCAAAAGUAAACAAAUCAUGCUAAGUGUCCAAUACACGUCAACUGGUGAGUCUGAUAUUCCUUCACGAAUGCGCAGGUAUUAUUUAUACCAUUUCUACACUAAUGCAGUAGUCUGCAUAACAGUAAACCUAUUUUUUGUGAGAAUAAAAAUUUAAAAUGGAAAGCAAAAGAAUGUAAAAGGGGCCUUGAGACGUGACUAAUGAACAGAGGAAAUGUUAUUUUAGUGCCAGGAAUGUCUUUCUUGUUUAUUCUGGACCCUAUUUGGAAAUUGGCAUCUUUUGAAAUUUGUGUGAAAUUGGCAAAAUUGCUAAAUUCUGACCACUGUACUGGAUAGUUGAAAUCUGUAAAUGGGUGGUUUCUUGUACUCAUUUGAUAGAAAAAUGGAGUUCUAGCGAAAUAGUUAUGAUUUUUGUCGACUAGUACAUUUGAAUUGGCCGAAAAUAGGGCUCAAAGUGGGCAAAAUCACCGAUGCAUCAACUUUGUCGAGACCGCUAACUUCACAAGAGCAUAAUUCCAUAAGUUUUCCAUCAAAUUUCAUACUUUUUCUGUCAUUAUGAUCAGGAAAAGAUUCUCUAUCUGGCAGGGCUGCAUCUGCUCUUGUUGCCACCUCCCUAGUUAAGAACGAUAAUAAAUUUGUUGAGUUAGGCAUAAGAAUUAACAACUGGGCGUCUACACUGCAAACUGAAUUGUUUGCAAUCUUAAUGGCGCUAAAGCUAACCUAUGACACUGAGCUUGACUCUGUCAUCAUUACUGAUUCUAUGUCAUCAUUGAAGGCUCUUGACUCAUAUAAUGACUCCAACAACAUGCUCAUUGGGGAAGCCAGGUAUAGAUACUCAAAAAUUAGGGACAAAGGAAUUAAUGUACAAUUGCUAUGGAUCCCAUCACACAUUGGAUUACUCCUUCAUGAUAAAGUUGAUAUGUUAGCCAAGAAGAGUACCCAGAAGGAGAAUGUAGAAUAUAACUUUGGUAUAACUGUGUCUAGCAUUAGGAAUAAUAUUAGGAGAGAAGUAAAUAAUGAAAAUGAUUGUUAUAGGAAUGCAGUUAGAAGCCUGAGUAGAUCUAUAACCCACUAUGAUAACAUGAACGUAGAUAAGUAUGUUUAUGGAGCAACAUGCAAUGUGAACACUGAUGUUGUAGUGGCCAGGCUUAGGCUUGGUUACAAGUACUGACUGAUGUUGUAGUGGCCAGGCUUAGGCUUGGUUACAAGUACUGACUGAUGUUGUAGUGGCCAGGCUUAGGCUUGGUUACAAGUACUGAGUGAUGGUGUAGUGGCCAGGCUUAGGCUUGGUUACAAGUACUGACUGAUGUUGUAGUGGCCAGACUUAGGCUUGGUUACAAGUACUGACUGAUGUUGUAGUGGCCAGGCUUAGGCUUGGUUACAAGUACUGACUGAUGUUGUAGUGGCCAGGCUUAGGCUUGGUUACAAGUACUGACUGAUGUUGUAGUGGCCAGGCUUAGGCUUGGUUACAAGUACUGACUGAUGUUGUAGUGGCCAGGCUUAGGCUUGGUUACAAGUACUGACUGAUGUUGUAGUGGCCAGGCUUAGGCUUGGUUACAAGUACUGACUGAUGUUGUAGUGGCCAGGCUUAGGCUUGGUUACAAGUACUGACUGAUGUUGUAGUGGCCAGGCUUAGGCUUGGUUACAAGUACUGACUGAUGUUGUAGUGGCCAGGCUUAGGCUUGGUUACAAGUACUGACUGAUGUUGUAGUGGCCAGGCUUAGGCUUGGUUACAAGUACUGACUGAUGUUGUAGUGGCCAGGCUUAGGCUUGGUUACAAGUACUGACUGAUGUUGUAGUGGCCAGGCUUAGGCUUGGUUACAAGUACUGACUGAUGUUGUAGUGGCCAGACUUAGGCUUGGUUACAAGUACUGACUGAUGUUGUAGUGGCCAGGCUUAGGCUUGGUUACAAGUACUGACUGAUGUUGUAGUGGCCAGACUUAGGCUUGGUUACAAGUACUGACUGAUGUUGUAGUGGCCAGGCUUAGGCUUGGUUACAAGUACUUCUGGCAGUUUGGGAGACACACAGAUGAUGAUCAAACUAAAUGUAAAUUAUGUGAUCAGGCAUAUGGUCACUCUCUUGAACACUAUGUGCUUAAUUGUCCACUUAUUGAGGAAUACAGAGACAGACAGUAUAAUAACCUAUGUGACAUGUCAAGAUAUCUUAUUAAUGAAAAUAAGAUACCAGAUAUACUAAGCAAAUUUCCUAAAUUUGCUUGUAACAGAUAAGUGAACUAUAGAUAUGUAGAUAUAAAUCCAUAUGUAUUCCUGUUAACCCUUUGGGGCCUAGUUCCUAGGCCUUUUGUGUAUCCAUAUGCUCUCGCGCUACCGUCCACAGGAUGGAUAUGGGGUGCACAAUAAACUAGCCGCUUCAGUGGCAAAAUCUAAAUCUGAGAACAAGUCUCUGAGAGGGCCUGUGGACCCUGAAAGGGUUAAUACACACAAACUGAAGAAGACAUGCACAAUUAAUACUCUACUAAGAAUAGAAUACAUGACACUUACAUUUAUUGAAGAUCUGGUGAUGAUUGAUGGGAUGGGAGGAGGGGAGAGUGUGGAAGUUGUUAUUGUUUAGAAGGGGAAUCCCCUUCCAUUAGGACUUGAGGUAUCAAGUCCUUUUCUGGGGUUACUUCCCUUUUUCUUUUAAUGCCACUAGGACCAGCUUGAGAGUCACUGGACCUCUGUCGCACAACAUAUCUGUCCAUAGAGCUCUGUACCUCUCGUUCCUUUAUGGUUUGUCUAAAGUGGCUGACAACAUUGUCAUUGUAAUAGUCACCAGCACGACUUGCAAUAGCUGUGUUAGGGUGAUUUUCAUCCAUAAAGGUUUGCACUUCAACCCACUUUGCACACAUUUCCUUAAUCUUUGAAGUAGACAACUUCUUCAGUUUCUCUAUCCCCUCCUCCGAAGCAGUUUCCUCAGGUCCGGCCUCUUGCUGUUGAAAAUGAUCUUGCAGCUCAUCAGUGGUUAGUUCUUCAUUGUCCUCCUCCACCAACUCUUCCACAUCCUCCCUAGUAACCUCCAACCCCAAGGACUUCCCGAACUCUGUGUGUGUGGAGGAGGGAGAAGGUGACUCAAUUAAUAUUUGCAUUAAUAACUCAUUAAAAUUGUGAUCAGUUGUAGACGUGUGAACGGUUCAUUACUUUUGUAACAUGUUCAUCUAUCAAAACUUUGUGGCCCAGUCCCUGGGCUGCAAAGUACCUCUGUAAUCCUUGUGACUAUUACACCACAGGAUGGGUAUGGGGUGCAUAAUGAAGAUAUUAUUAAACUAACCUCUUACUCUCUUUUUCUUAACCACUUCUGGUCUCAUUCUCAUGGUGUCGCAGUGUACACUGAUAGUUUUAAAUCUUCUGAUGGCGUUCAGGUUUGCAGCAGUGUUUCCAGACAGCGUUGUGCACGGGCAUUUAUUGGACUCUGCUAGCAUUCUUACAACUGAAUUGUAGGCAAUUCUCAUUCCAGUUAUUUGUAUUACAUAUAUGUCUACCUCAAAGUUUGUCAUAUUCUCAGACUUCCUUAGUGCUUUGCAGGGUAUUAAAAAAUUUGACUCUCCUCAUCCUCUAGUUCUUCGUAUACAAAUUGAGGUGCAUCGCAUUUGUAGCAAAACCAAUGAAAUCAUUUUGUGAUGGUUCCCUGGUCAUGCUGAUGUUGAGGGUAACAAGCAGGCAGACGCUGUUGCACGGUCAGCAGAACAUGACUGUGGCAUGCAAAGAGUACGUAACCUUUAUUCGGCGCAUGGACACACCCUCAUUUACAGGUUAUCUCCCCCAACCAGCGAACCUGGUUGCUAAGAGUUGAUGAUGGGGCCCCAUCGUUCAACUAGUGACCAGGUUCUAGCCAAUAAGAAGGUGGGAUUGGCAAUCGCAGAGGUUAUGUGGAUACCGCUCUCCUGUCUGCCCUUGUCAUUCCCAUUCUAGAGCUGGUUGAAGCACGGUCUGCUAUCUUGUGGCUUCUAUUUCUGCCUUGCUUACCGUGGAGUGCACUAUAUUUAUCACUGUACAUAGUGUACAUAUUGCUGUUCUAAAUUGGUGAAGGAUAAUAUAAGUCUAAACUUUUUCUACUGUGUUUAUUUGCUCCCAUUACACCUGGGAUAACAGGCCAUUUGAAAUCCUAGGUUGUAAUAUGGGUAGCCUGUCCGAGAGCUGGACUUAGAGAAACGGUUGAGCUUAGGGUGAAGCUUGUAGCAGGAACAUUGUGUAGCUUGCUGUUUCGCUUCGCUUUACAAAUUUUGCGUGUCAGUUGCUUAUGAUCAGCCUUGCUAUUGUGUGAUCGUUCAACAGCUCGCUACUAGCUUGUUCAGUGUGCUCGCUUCGCUACGGUCAAUCUUGUGUGCAGUCGGCUUUGCUUGUAUGCGUAUUCUGCAAUCGUACUGUGCAUAGCUAAGCGUGUUCUGCAAAUUAA
Molecule: long non-coding RNA, 5923 nt
Organism: Cherax quadricarinatus
Lineage: Eukaryota; Metazoa; Arthropoda; Malacostraca; Decapoda; Parastacidae
Source: RefSeq, a predicted model, not a curated record